Molecule: unclassified non-coding RNA, 513 nt
Filed under: Hevea brasiliensis (rubber tree)
Lineage: Eukaryota; Viridiplantae; Streptophyta; Magnoliopsida; Malpighiales; Euphorbiaceae
Source: RNAcentral
UGGAAACCCAUUCAACCUCUGCAUAGCAUACACACAGGAUCACAAUUCUUUCUGGUGAGUACACCAUAAAACAAAGCGUCAAGUUAACAAUAUGAACAAACAGUAAUGAGCACAAAGCUCGACCAAGGAAAAUAAAUCCAAAUCAGAAAAUUGAUGGAAGCAGCUAACCAUCAAAGGCUCGUGAUCAUAAUAACAAGGACCAUGAAAUGUAAAUGUAUUAUUGACUUUAAUCCUGCUCAAGGAUUGUUUAUCACCAAAAAUGAUAUCAGUUAGCUACCAACUUCCUCAACAUUUUUAUCACUUCUCUUCUUCCUGCUUCUCGAUAAAUGUCUUCCUCAAAAAAUCCCAUGGCUGAAUCACCCAGAGGGCGCCAGUAACGGCGGCGACACCCCACCCUGCGGCGGCCUGUAUAUCGGUGGAUUGGGGACGGCGUUUGGGGCUGAGGAACUUGAAGAGUCCGUUACCUGCUGCAGUAGUCAUCUUCGGCGUCGGAAGCCCUAGACUCUGUUUUUG